CCUACGGGUGGCAGCAGUGAGGAAUAUUGGUCAAUGGACGAGAGUCUGAACCAGCCAAGUAGCGUGAAGGAUGACUGCCCUAUGGGUUGUAAACUUCUUUAGGCGGGGAGCAAUGCCGGGCACGUGUGCCCGGAGGGAGAGUACCCGCAGAAUAAGCAUCGGCUAACUCCGUGCCAGCAGCCGCGGUAAUACGGAGGAUGCGAGCGUUAUCCGGGUUGAUUGGGUUUAAAGGGUGCGUAGGCGGAUUUUUAAGUCAGCGGUAAAAUGUCGGGGCUCAACCCGGGCCGGCCGUUGAAACUGGGGAUCUUGAGUGGGCGAGAAGUAUGAGGAAUGCGUGGUGUAGCGGUGAAAUGCAUAGAUAUCACGCAGAACUCCGAUUGCGAAGGCAGCAUACCGGCGCCCGACUGACGCUGAGGCACGAAAGCGUGGGGAUCGAACAGGAGUAGAUACCCUAGUAGUC
Molecule: ribosomal RNA, 460 nt
Filed under: uncultured bacterium
Lineage: Bacteria
Description: partial 16S ribosomal RNA
Rfam family: Bacterial small subunit ribosomal RNA
Source: RNAcentral